CUGCUGCUGCCUGCAGGCUGCAGCUUGACCUCCUUCCAAUCCAUCUGCUCGAGGCAUCACUCGACUCAAGCAGCAGAGCGCGACGAUAAAAAGAAGCCACCGACCACUGCUCGCUCUCUCUGUCACUCUCUCUCCCUGCUCGCUCGCCUCUCUCGCCCCUGUUCUCGUCGAUCGCCCACCUCUCGGUUCUCGGUGUCGGCCCGAUGGGCGCUUCCUUCUGGCUUGCCGUUCUUGCAGGCGCGCUGGUCAUGACAGCGGGCGCGCAGGCGCAGGUGCAGUACUGCGAGGCACCCUGCCCGCCCUGUGCCCUGUGCGUGCAGACUCCAUGUCCGGCCAUCGCUGCCUGCCCUGCCUCGGCGCCCUGCAC
RNAcentral lists this long non-coding RNA (367 nucleotides) under Hordeum vulgare. RNAcentral's name for it is "long non-coding RNA (HVUL_LNC005948)". The record is from RNAcentral. Lineage: Eukaryota; Viridiplantae; Streptophyta; Magnoliopsida; Poales; Poaceae.